Long non-coding RNA from Oreochromis aureus, 795 nucleotides. RefSeq lists it as uncharacterized. The transcript has 3 exons. NCBI's taxonomy places the organism in Eukaryota, Metazoa, Chordata, Actinopteri, Cichliformes, Cichlidae. The record is from RefSeq and is a predicted model, not a curated record.
GUGAUGAUGCUGAACUGAUAGCUGCAUCCCAGUCUGUGGAAGAUUCACUGAAGUCCCAACACUCCUUGUCUGCAAGUCAACCUUUAAAGCAACGGCUGACAAGCAGAGGUGUUUCCUCCUCCCAGACGUCUGGAACAUAGGAGAACUCAGCUCCCCUGUCCAAGGAGUUUGAGAACACUGUACAGUCACCACAUCAAAAUAAAUCUACUGUGCAGCCCAAACAUCGUGAGUCCACAGAGGCUGCCAUACAGUCCAAAAAACUUGACACUGUUGGAUUCACUGAGUCAUCUGCAUCCCAGGGUCAUGAUCAUACAACACAAUUACUGUUGAGUCAUUCACCUGUGGAGCUAGAGGGAUGGGUGCGUCCCUGGGAAAAUCCUAAUGGUAUCCCAUCUGCUGACAUUUCCUGGCUUAAAGAGGACACUGAAAGAGGACUGUUUACCCCUGUUCAGACAUACAAGGAUGUUACUGGUGUGUUGAAGAGGCGACGGGUGAUUAAAUCAGAUCGCAUGUGGUUUUACCCACCAGAACCUCCUGGCUAUGCCAGGGGUGCUGUGCCCAGUGUACAGCUCUUUUUUCGCAGCCGUGUCUUUUUGUGGCAUCCUGUUGGGGUAUGGAAGUACUCCCUGAAGUGUCCUCGAGCUGACGAGUGUGUGGGUAAAGGACAAAAUGUGCACCUAUAUAAGUCUGGCUAUCACCACCGGGUAAUUUCACAUAAAUAUUUUACUCAAGUCUUCAAAUGUAAACGGUAAAACUGCCAUCCUGGAUUCAUAUGCUUAUUUUGGCCAUUUUCUC